This 293-nucleotide ribosomal RNA is filed under the name uncultured bacterium. RNAcentral's name for it is "partial 16S ribosomal RNA". It matches the Rfam family "Archaeal small subunit ribosomal RNA", at positions 455 to 747 of the family's 1478-position model. The record is from RNAcentral.
GUGCCAGCCGCCGCGGUAACACCGGCGGCCCGAGUGGUGAUCGCUAUUAUUGGGUCUAAAGGGUCCGUAGCCGGUUUGAUCAGUCCAUUGGGAAAUCUGGUGGCUUAACCGUCAGAAUUCCAAUGGAUACUGUCAGACUUGGGACCGGGAGAGGUAAGAGGUACUACAGGGGUAGGAGUGAAAUCUUGUAAUCCCUGUAGGACCACCAGUUGCGAAGGCGUCUUACCAGAACGGGUCCGACGGUGAGGGACGAAAGCGGGGGGCACGAACCGGAUUAGAUACCCGGGUAGUCC